CCUACGGGAGGCAGCAGUGGGGAAUAUUGCGCAAUGGGCGAAAGCCUGACGCAGCGACGCCGCGUGAGGGAUGAAGGCCUUCGGGUUGUAAACCUCUUUCAGCAGGGACGAAAACAGACGGUACCUGCAGAAGAAGCACCGGCCAACUACGUGCCAGCAGCCGCGGUAAUACGUAGGGUGCAAGCGUUGUCCGGAAUUAUUGGGCGUAAAGAGCUCGUAGGCGGUUUGUCGCGUCGGCUGUGAAAACUCGGGGCUCAACCCCGAGCCUGCAGUCGAUACGGGCAGACUAGAGUGCUGUAGGGGAGACUGGAAUUCCUGGUGUAGCGGUGAAAUGCGCAGAUAUCAGGAGGAACACCGGUGGCGAAGGCGGGUCUCUGGGCAGUAACUGACGCUGAGGAGCGAAAGCGUGGGGAGCAAACAGGAUUAGAUACCCUGGUAGUCCACGCCGUAAACGGUGGGUACUAGGUGUGAGCGGUAUUCCACGCCGUUCGUGCCGCNGCACGACAUAAGUACACCCGCCCGUCGGGUAGGUACGGCCGGCCGACGACGAAACGUAACAAACAAGUAAGUAGUAGGUUCGNGUAGAGUUGCGACGGACGACGACGAGGGAGGAGG
This 615-nucleotide ribosomal RNA is filed under the name uncultured bacterium. RNAcentral describes it as "bacterial SSU rRNA". The stretch from base 1 to 520 matches the Rfam family "Bacterial small subunit ribosomal RNA", at positions 338 to 873 of the family's 1533-position model. The record is from RNAcentral.